Molecule: non-coding RNA, 138 nt
Organism: Paramuricea clavata
Lineage: Eukaryota; Metazoa; Cnidaria; Anthozoa; Malacalcyonacea; Plexauridae
Source: the annotation of a GenBank genome assembly
UUAUCAGACUUGUAGCAAAGUUGUUCUAACAAGCCUAAUACAGUCAUUACAUAACAAGAAUGUUACAAGGUUGUAACAAUAUUGUUAUAUCAUGACUGUAGCAGACUUGUUGGAACAACCUUGCAACAAGUCUGAUAA